This 535-nucleotide ribosomal RNA is filed under the name Staphylococcus aureus. RNAcentral describes it as "partial 23S ribosomal RNA". It matches the Rfam family "Bacterial large subunit ribosomal RNA", at positions 696 to 1234 of the family's 2925-position model. The record is from RNAcentral. Lineage: Bacteria; Bacillati; Bacillota; Bacilli; Caryophanales; Staphylococcaceae.
UUAGUAUUUGGUCGUAGACCCGAAACCAGGUGAUCUACCCUUGGUCAGGUUGAAGUUCAGGUAACACUGAAUGGAGGACCGAACCGACUUACGUUGAAAAGUGAGCGGAUGAACUGAGGGUAGCGGAGAAAUUCCAAUCGAACCUGGAGAUAGCUGGUUCUCUCCGAAAUAGCUUUAGGGCUAGCCUCAAGUGAUGAUUAUUGGAGGUAGAGCACUGUUUGGACGAGGGGCCCCUCUCGGGUUACCGAAUUCAGACAAACUCCGAAUGCCAAUUAAUUUAACUUGGGAGUCAGAACAUGGGUGAUAAGGUCCGUGUUCGAAAGGGAAACAGCCCAGACCACCAGCUAAGGUCCCAAAAUAUAUGUUAAGUGGAAAAGGAUGUGGCGUUGCCCAGACAACUAGGAUGUUGGCUUAGAAGCAGCCAUCAUUUAAAGAGUGCGUAAUAGCUCACUAGUCGAGUGACACUGCGCCGAAAAUGUACCGGGGCUAAACAUAUUACCGAAGCUGUGGAUUGUCCUUUGGACAAUGGUAGGAG